AACCUGCCCAGGAUUUCUUCAUGCUGAAUAUUAACAUGUAGUCAAGAGUGAAUGUGUGCUUACAAAGCAGCACAGUGUACUACUAAGUUUCCCACUUGCCUUGUCUAGUUAUCCACCUUUUUUUGUUAGUAAACAGAUCAGAGAAGUAAAGGAUGGCGUUUUUAGGAACAUGAAUUGGUGGCCCCAUAUAGUUGACUUGAAAGGAUUUAGUCCAUGUAGAACAAACUCAGUUGUCCACUAGAUUUUUCAGAGGAAGAGGGUCUUCAUUUAGAAAAGGUGCAGAAUAACUUUACUGUUUUUAAAAUUCUAGUCAUAUGGAGAACUGUUUCCAGUGUGCCUUACAGUAUUAAAUUUUCACGUGGGAUAUCUGCAGUGACUGUGUUGACAAAGAUUAUCAUUGCACUUGCAUGUGGCAGACUGGAGGGUAGAAAUGUGAUUUGGGGACCAGGGAUGAAGGAGGGACUCUGUCUGUGUGAGCACGUUCUCUCCUUUGUGUCCUCUUGUGCUUACCUUUGAAUUGGUUGUUUUGCCUUUAUUUAUUUAACUUGAAGAAUAGUUUAGGCUCAGUCCAUUUAAGAGUUUGGAUAUACACCAAAAUGAUGAAAGAUGUGGAAGUGUGAAAAGAAACCUCAAGAACACAAAUGAAACAGCGUGGAUCCAGCUUUGGAGAGCAGCUAUACUGAAGCAAAGAAGGAUCCAGGAUCUGAGGAGAAGAGAGAAGGAACUGACAGAAUGAAAUGGGAAGCUCAUACCUGAUAUUUGUCUGUGGGUUAAUGCAGUUGUUCAAAAGAUGUUAAAUUGAAGGACAUUUACCCCUGUGCAGCAGUACUUUGAAUUCAGUUCCCAGAGUCGCUCAAGCAUACACCAAUGUCCAGCAUGUUGCAACCUGCUGCUUCCAAGUUCUCUCUCGUCCCUAUUCCCUCUUCUCUCAGACUUUGUGCUCGACCCUGAUGAAGGAAAAAAUAGAUUAAAGUGACCAGAUAAAUUAAGACUUCCAGUGCUAAUGUGUCUUCAGUGUUUUUUGCAAAAGGCUUAAGGAACAACCAGAGGGACACUUAGUGCCUACAA
Molecule: long non-coding RNA, 1068 nt
Organism: Pipra filicauda (Wire-tailed manakin)
Lineage: Eukaryota; Metazoa; Chordata; Aves; Passeriformes; Pipridae
Exons: 3
Source: RefSeq, a predicted model, not a curated record